CAGGUGGAUCCGGUGGGCGGCUGGCUGGCAAAGUCAUGGCAUUCUUCCCCAUUGGAACCCCCUGACAAGCAUCCCAGGAGAUCCCUUGCCGACGCUGCGCAGCCGCCCUCGGUACUCAAAGAGAGCAACGCCAACACGGCGGCCGCGAGGCGGCCGCCUCCCUUGGCCGAGGGCCUUCCUCUUCCCCCAUCCAAGGAACGGUGGGAUCACUCGCCGCACAGCAUUCCUCCCAACUCUGAUCCGAAGAAGUUCAAGCGACAAGCCUUCUCGGGGCCUCUGCCGAGUAAAGGCUGGUCGAGUAAGCCCCUCUUCUGCGUCCCCUCUGCACAGCACCAGGCGGUCUCUCCGAUACCCCCCCGUGUGCCCACACCUCCGCGCUCUGUGUCUCCCAGGGUGUCGCCCACUGCCUCCCCCCCUCUCAUGCCCUCCCCUAGAAUAAGCGAGCUGCACGAGCUUCCCAGACCGCCGAGCGUCUCCUUGGACCUCCCCAGGCCCUCCUCCGUCUUGGUUGGCCAUUCCGCUCCUCUGGUCUCCAGAGCUCAGGAGCCUUCUGGAGGAGGCAGAGCUCCACUUUUUGCAGCAAGGAUGGCGUCUCCGUUGCCGACGCCUCCGGGCGCCAUGUCGCGGAGCUUC
Molecule: long non-coding RNA, 633 nt
Filed under: Spirodela polyrhiza (greater duckweed)
Lineage: Eukaryota; Viridiplantae; Streptophyta; Magnoliopsida; Alismatales; Araceae
Description: long non-coding RNA (SPOL_LNC002109)
Source: RNAcentral